UACGAAGGGGGCUAGCGUUGCUCGGAAUCACUGGGCGUAAAGCGCACGUAGGCGGAUUGUUAAGUCGGGGGUGAAAUCCUGAAGCUCAACUCCAGAACUGCCUUCGAUACUGGCGAUCUUGAGUCCGGGAGAGGUGAGUGGAACUCCGAGUGUAGAGGUGAAAUUCGUAGAUAUUCGGAAGAACACCAGUGGCGAAGGCGGCUCACUGGCCCGGUACUGACGCUGAGGUGCGAAAGCGUGGGGAGCAAACAGG
This 253-nucleotide ribosomal RNA is filed under the name uncultured bacterium. RNAcentral's name for it is "partial 16S ribosomal RNA". It matches the Rfam family "Bacterial small subunit ribosomal RNA", at positions 524 to 776 of the family's 1533-position model. The record is from RNAcentral.